Molecule: ribosomal RNA, 253 nt
Filed under: uncultured bacterium
Lineage: Bacteria
Description: partial 16S ribosomal RNA
Rfam family: Bacterial small subunit ribosomal RNA
Source: RNAcentral
CACGUAGGGCGCAAGCGUUGUCCGGAAUUAUUGGGCGUAAAGCGCACGUAGGCGGAUCUUUAAGUCAGGGGUGAAAUCCUGGAGCUCAACUCCAGAACUGCCUUUGAUACUGGGGAUCUCGAGUCCGGAAGAGGUGAGUGGAACUCCGAGUGUAGAGGUGAAAUUCGUAGAUAUUCGGAAGAACACCAGUGGCGAAGGCGGCUCACUGGUCCGGUACUGACGCUGAGGUGCGAAAGCGUGGGGAGCAAACAGG